AUGGCUGUGAUUGCCCACCAUAGCAAGCGCAGGCUGUCUGAGCAGGCCAUCCUUGGAUGCCCAAAUGGCUCGGCAUCAGGACUCAGCCCACCCUUGGGUGAAGGGCACCCGUCUCCCUUUGCCGAUCACUGUCCCCAUGAAGAAGAGCUGGGUCUCUUUCCUGGGUGCUGGCUGAGAGAGGUGGGUCCCAGUGCCCGGCUGUGCCGCCUGCGCACUGCUCCGGCACCAGGCGCCCCUCCUCAGCGGCUGUGCCAGGGUCGCCAUGGCAACGGCAUAAUGGAUUUGCCCUUAUUCAGUCCCAGAGGCCGCAUCGAAGCGCGACGCAAAAUUUGCCGGAGCCUGAAUUCCUUUCAAGUCAUGGCUCGCGUGUCAGGAAGCAAGUUGAUGCGCAGGCAGCGAAUCACUGAGAGAUCAGGAGCCAUGCAUGUUCUUCACAUGGGUUUGUGCAGGCACACAUCUCACCACCAGCGUUUUUCCAAGGGACAUAGUUUGGCAACCUAUUGACCUUGGGAUGCUCCUCCAGGGUAAAAUGCAUCCAGAAGUGUUCCUGGUCUUUUCCGUAUCUCAUGGCACCAGAGCUUUUUCAUCCUUCUAAACCUUGUGCCUGAAGUUGUCCCUGAAAUUUCACUGUUCUGUGGGAGGGACUGAUGAGACCUGAACACAGCCGUCAGAGGGAGCAUACACUCGAUUUACAUAAUGACUCAGCAAUGUGCUCUUCCUGCCAAGAAGACUAACAAUAUUCUUGGCUGCAUUAGGCAGAGAACUGCCAGCAGGUCAAGAGAGGUGAUCCUUCCCCUCCAUUCAGCACUGGUGAGGCCACACCUGGAGCAUUGAGUCUGGUUGUGGGCCCCCCAGUACAAGAGAGACCUGGACAUACUGGGCAGUAUCCAACAAAGGGCCACAAAUAUAAUGAAGGGCUUGAAGGAGUCUUCAUCCUGUGAGGAGAGGCUGAGAGAGCUGGGACUGUUCAGCCUGGAGAAGAGGAAGCUGAGGGGGAUCUUAUCAAUGUGUAUAAAUACCUGAAGGGAGGGUGCAAAGAGGAUGGAGCCAAGCUCUUUUUGGUGGUGCCCAAUGCCAGGACAAGAGGCAAUGGGCACAAACAGGAACACUGGAGGUUCCAUCUGAAUAUCAGGAAGCACCUCUUCACUGUGCUGGUGUUGGAGCACUGAAAUCAUAUCUCCCUCCCUGUAGGCCUUCAAAAGCCACCUGGACGUGGUCCUGGGCAACCUGCUGUGGAUAUCCCUGCUUGUGUUGGACCAGGUGUCCUCCAGAGGUCCCUUCAUUCUCAGCCAUUCUGGGAUUCUGUGAUUGCAUUGGGGUCUCACAUGUGUUGUUCUUUAAUUUGUUCUUGACGAAUCCGUACACCCUGGCAGUAUUGCUGACUGCUACUGUUGCUGAGCUCAGGUCUUUAUCCCUUUGUCCGCAGUGAUGACUCCCAGGUGACUUAACGUGCUUUGGAAAAUUAUACACUAGGUCUAUUUUCUGAAUAUAUGCACUUAAUUACUGAUAUCUCCACACAGCACUCUUUGCGAGAACAAUGAAUGAGCUCUGUCGGGUACUGAAAUAAGUAUACUCACUGCAGAUGUGCCCUGUAGACAUGCCCUUAGCAUGUGAAAAAUAAUGCAUGAGUGGUACAGCCUGUACCCUCUCACAGUUCAGCUAGCAACUAUGAGCUUCACCUGCCAAACUGCUGCCCCAUGUUCAUCCUGCUUUCCUGAGCAUCGGAAUUUCCUCUAAAUUUUUUCAUUGUUUGCAUAACAAUAAAGUGAGGUUAUUUAAAGAGCUCUAACUCA
This 1793-nucleotide long non-coding RNA is filed under the name Anas platyrhynchos platyrhynchos (common mallard). RNAcentral describes it as "lncRNA (ENSAPLG00000022872.1)". Lineage: Eukaryota; Metazoa; Chordata; Aves; Anseriformes; Anatidae. The record is from RNAcentral.